CAGUCGAGGGGUACAGGAAGUGCUUGCACUUCGCUGACGACCGGCGAACGGGUGCGUACGCGUAUGCAACCUACCUUCUACAGGGGGAUAGCCCAGAGAAAUUUGGAAUAAUACCCCAUACGGUCAUUUAAUGGCAUCGUUAAAUGAUGAAAACUCCGGUGGUAGAAGAUGGGCAUGCGUCCUAUUAGUUAGUUGGUAAGGUAAUGGCUUACCAAGACACCGAUAGGUAGGGGUCCUGAGAGGGAGAUCCCCCACACUGGUACUGAGACACGGACCAGACUCCUACGGGAGGCAGCAGUGAGGAAUAUUGGACAAUGGAGGCAACUCUGAUCCAGCCAUGCCGCGUGAAGGAAGACGGCCUUAUGGGUUGUAAACUUCUUUUAUACAGGAAGAAACCUUUCCACGUGUGGAAAGUUGACGGUACUGUAAGAAUAAGGAUCGGCUAACUCCGUGCCAGCAGCCGCGGUAAUACGGAUGGUGCAAGCGUUAAUCGGAAUUACUGGGCGUAAAGCGCGCGUAGGUGGCACACCAAGUUAGAUGUGAAAUCCCAGGGCUUAACCUUGGAACUGCAUCUAAAACUGGUGAGCUAGAGUAUUAGAGAGGAAAGUAGAAUUCUUAGUGUAGCGGUGGAAUGCGUAGAUAUUAAGAGGAAUACCAAUGGCGAAGGCAACUUUCUGGAUAAAUCUGACCUGAGGUGCAAAGCGUGGGGAGCAACAGGAUAGAUCCCUGUAGUCCCGCGUAAACAUGGCC
This 750-nucleotide ribosomal RNA is filed under the name uncultured Bacteroidota bacterium. RNAcentral's name for it is "bacterial SSU rRNA". It matches the Rfam family "Bacterial small subunit ribosomal RNA", at positions 59 to 813 of the family's 1533-position model. The record is from RNAcentral. Lineage: Bacteria; Pseudomonadati; Bacteroidota.